UACGUAGGGUCCGAGCGUUGUCCGGAAUCAUUGGGCGUAAAGAGCGUGUAGGCGGCCCGGUAAGUCCGCUGUGAAAGUCGGGGGCUCAACCCUCGAAUGCCGGUGGAUACUGUCGGGCUAGAGUGCGGAAGAGGCGAGUGGAAUUCCUGGUGUAGCGGUGAAAUGCGCAGAUAUCAGGAGGAACACCGAUUGCGAAGGCAGCUCGCUGGGACGUCACUGACGCUGAGACGCGAAAGCGUGGGGAGCAAACAGG
RNAcentral lists this ribosomal RNA (253 nucleotides) under uncultured bacterium. Its description in RNAcentral is "partial 16S ribosomal RNA". It matches the Rfam family "Bacterial small subunit ribosomal RNA", at positions 524 to 776 of the family's 1533-position model. The record is from RNAcentral.